AUUGAACGCUGGCGGCAGGCCUAACACAUGCAAGUCGAGCGCGAAAGGCCUUCGGGCUGAGUAGAGCGGCGGACGGGUGAGUAACGCGUAGGAAUCUACCUGGUAGUGGGGGACAACUUGGGGAAACUCAAGCUAAUACCGCAUACGCCCCAUGGGGGAAAGCGGGGGACCUUCGGGCCUCGCGCUAUCAGAUGAGCCUGCGUAGGAUUAGCUAGUUGGUGAGGUAAAGGCUCACCAAGGCGACGAUCCUUAGCUGGUCUGAGAGGAUGAUCAGCCACACUGGAACUGAGACACGGUCCAGACUCCUACGGGAGGCAGCAGUGGGGAAUAUUGCGCAAUGGGCGAAAGCCUGACGCAGCCAUGCCGCGUGUGUGAAGAAGGCCUUCGGGUUGUAAAGCACUUUUAUGGGAAAGAAAAACCCGGAGCUAA
This 429-nucleotide ribosomal RNA is filed under the name uncultured bacterium. Its description in RNAcentral is "bacterial SSU rRNA". It matches the Rfam family "Bacterial small subunit ribosomal RNA", at positions 29 to 462 of the family's 1533-position model. The record is from RNAcentral.